This 22-nucleotide non-coding RNA is filed under the name Arabidopsis thaliana (thale cress). The record is from RNAcentral. Lineage: Eukaryota; Viridiplantae; Streptophyta; Magnoliopsida; Brassicales; Brassicaceae.
AAGUCUCACUCAGGCUACGAUG